Molecule: ribosomal RNA, 253 nt
Filed under: uncultured bacterium
Lineage: Bacteria
Description: partial 16S ribosomal RNA
Rfam family: Bacterial small subunit ribosomal RNA
Source: RNAcentral
GACGUAGGGCGCGAGCGUUGUCCGGAUUUAUUGGGCGUAAAGAGCUCGUAGGCGGCUUGUUGCGUCGACCGUGAAAACCCGGGGCUCAACUUCGGGCUUGCGGUCGAUACGGGCGGGCUAGAGUUCGGUAGGGGAGACUGGAAUUCCUGGUGUAGCGGUGAAAUGCGCAGAUAUCAGGAGGAACACCGGUGGCGAAGGCGGGUCUCUGGGCCGAUACUGACGCUGAGACGCGAAAGCGUGGGGAGCAAACAGG